UGCUGAGAGGAGCGAUGAGAAGCUCCCUGAGGAGGAAGAUGAUAAGCUUCCAGAGGAGGAAGGAGGCGAGAAACUUCCGGAGGAGAUCCCCACAGGUAAGAUUGUAAUGCCUCUUCUCCAAUUUUAUUUUUCUCUUGUUUUACUGGUUUUUUCCAUCCCAAACUUUUCCUUUAGAUUCCCAAAAUACAGGGAAUACUAUGGGAAGAAUUGAAGAGAUGCCACAUACAGAGGCGGCUAUUGUGGUAGAAGCGAGUACUUCCCUCAUUUCACCGGGAAGCACUCUACCACAGGAAGAGAAACUAAAGCUUUCUCGCAAGUUGUUGACAGAGGUGUUAGAGCAGGGGAGCAGCCAGCCCCGGGACGACUCAGAGCUGAUCGCUCUGAGAGAGCAAGUGAAGAAGCUCUCGUCUGAGAAAGCUGCUCUCUAGGAAAAAAAAUAAAAAACUCUCCAAAGCCAAGAGAGCUUAGUCUCUGCUUUUGUAUUGCAUUCGACUAGUUUGAUUCGUCUGAUGAGAUCGAGCAGCUCAAGAAGAUCAAGGCGGAUUCUGACCAGGAGAUGGCAACAGCUCUCCAACAGCUCAAGGACUUGUCAGAAUCCCGGGACUUGAUGCAGCGGGAGCUUGUGGAGCUAAGGGAGCUGAAAGAUGCUGCUCAAGAUAUGGCGGACAUUGUGGAGAUCCCAGAGGGGAACAAAGAUGAGCCCCUGAAUGCUUCGGAAAGUCAUGGAUAUUUGAGAGAUAUGUCUCCACAACCACCCGAUAGUACGUAGGACACGUACUCGGGUUGGUGAAGUCCUAUUGGCCACGUACUCCACUUGAUUCGCUUGGGGAGGGUGCAAAGGCUGAUUACAACGAUGAUCAAUUUGGUCAGUACCUAGAAGAAACCUCCACCAUAGGGGAUAGGAUAGUGGAGACUUUAAACAAGUCCUGAUCUCCUUGUGUCUUUGUAAGAUGACUGGCUGCUGGAGCCUCAAGUACUCGUAUGUACAAAUAUUUAAAUUUGUGUUU
Molecule: long non-coding RNA, 1007 nt
Organism: Panicum virgatum (switchgrass)
Lineage: Eukaryota; Viridiplantae; Streptophyta; Magnoliopsida; Poales; Poaceae
Exons: 3
Source: RefSeq, a predicted model, not a curated record